RNA transcript from Aedes aegypti (yellow fever mosquito), 3363 nucleotides. It is a transcript of the gene named collectin-10, with no coding region annotated. The record is from RefSeq and is a predicted model, not a curated record. The transcript has 6 exons. Lineage: Eukaryota; Metazoa; Arthropoda; Insecta; Diptera; Culicidae.
GUUCGGCUGAGCCACCAGUCGCCCAACCUCGAGAUCUCAGCCGCUGUCGACACUGGACUGGACCUCAGCGUGUGCUCUUUCGCUCUCUCAGGCUCGCCAUCUCAUGUGUAGAAGCUAAGGACGGAUGCUUGAUCAGGUUGGGCUAGUUUUGGUCUCCGCCGUCCAUAGUCUGGGUUCAAGUGAGAAGAAGUUGGGCGCGCGCGCGUAAUUUUUGCAUCGACAUUCAAUUUGACUGUUCAGCUCGUAUAGUUGCACUGAGGAGCGUGGAAUAUCCGCGUCGAUGCGAUACAGUCCUGGCUCUUGGUAGACUCCCCACUCAGGGACUCAAAAAACCGGACGCACGAGGGCUUGAACCUGUGGGUCAUCUUUCGGUGAAGUUCAGUGUGUGUGCGGUGAAUUUCUAUGCCGUCUUGAUUGGAUGACCUAACUUUUGGUAGUGCGUGUUAAUUUAAUUACUACGUGUAUCGUGAGUGCCUCUGACCAAGUGAGACAAGCCGUAGUGGAAGAAGACCCUGUGAUUUGCCAAAAUUGUGUGAUUCAUGAUUUAUUUUCUUUUAGCUCGAAAGCGAAAGGUUCAAAUUGAUAGUAAAUCAAGUGCAAAUAGUGUUGGAUUGGGAAAGUGAACCGAUGCAUGCGUUUUGAUAGUGACAUCGAACCAACAACUCAUAGUUGUUCACAUUGAAGGAAAGUUGCGCAAAAAUCCGAAAAGCCAAUUGAUUAACAUAUUAACGCACCCCACGCACAAACACAGCUACAAAAUGGUUCGCUUACUAGUUCUGCUGCUGUGCAUUUCCAUAACAACCACUCAGAAGCCAGGCAGCUUCAGUUUCAAAGAGAAAGGUUUCAAGAACAAUCAUAACUACGACGUGGAUCCUCAAGUGCUCGAAAUUCAGCGCCAAAAUCUGAUAACCCAGAAAAUCCUCCAGCGCUACCUCGAGCGAAGAUUGCAUCCAGAGCGUAAGCCCCAGAUCCAUGUGCCAUCGGUGGACGAAAUCCUUCCGAAAUCGCCUCCUCCCGGCUCGGUGCGAGACGUUCGCCAACAGAAUACCACAUUAAGUGGCAAUCCAUUGCUGAGAAGUACCGCCUCUGGCAGUCGGUACAGUUUAUUUAACGAUUACAACAGCAAGCAGUACGAUUCGUUGGACGGGGAUGAAGAAUCGAUUCAGCAGCAGCAACGCCAGCAGGGACUGAUCGGCGAGGACUACGACGAUUCCGAAGGGGACUUGGAGCAGUAUGAGGAUCUGGGGGGCUCCUUGGAUAAUGAUCACAUUGACAUUGAAUCGUUGCAGUCGGGCGAAUCGGAGCAUGUCGAUUCGUUCUAUCGGGACAAGUCCUACCGGCAGAGAGCAUCCCAGCUCUCAGCGGACUAUGGAUCCGUGCUUGGCUUGUCGGCUCUAGAUAACGAUUUCGAUGAUCCGGAGGUGAGCGUUAUGAGCGAAAUUACUAACGAGCUUCGGCUGCUGACAGAGGCCAACAAGAAAAGCACUGGAAAUUCACUGGCCGAUGAAAUACGACCCACCAAGACUAGGGAGAAGCGACAGGCCAUUAAUAGUCGCACCAACAGGCGGAGAACUGCUCAACGGGAGCAAACGAUUACGAAUCGGAUCGAUUCGAGAUAUUAUUACUCAGAUGAUUAUAUCGAUUACACUACCACGCCGAGGAUGGCUAAGAAUUUGAGAGACAAUUAUGCUGACUACAGGCAGCAAUCAAAGAGCAAAAGUUCAAUCAAUGAAAUUAAGCCAAGUCGCCCGAGAACGGUUGGCAUCCAAAGCACUUUAACUAGGAAUACGGCGCGAUCGAGAAAUCGGGCUAAUACUUUGAAAUCGCUUGCGUACAAACCUAAUUACAACGCUAAUACUCGAAGACCUACUUUUACGCUAUCGGCUUAUGGAGGAAACAAUAAAGCUCCGUCACGUGGAAAUACCAGACGAGGAGGAAACAACCGAACAUAUAAAGAUGAGGAUUACAGAGGAAAUCGUUUUGGACAUACCACCUCAUCUGAUUGGCGAAAAAAGUCUGUCAGUUUGGGCAGUACCAGUCUGCAACCUAGUACUCCUGCGUUAACCGUAACCUUCUAUCUACCUACGGAUACUACUGUUUCGUUGGUUACGAAUUCCAAAACAGAGAUCAGUCUAAUCAAAACUACCACCACCAGUAUUGAAGAGAUUUGUACGUCGUGUUUUUCUCUCACUCAAGGACCGAACGGAUUGCCCGUCCACGUGCUCAACAAAGAAAUCACUUCUUUCAAUAGGGAUGGUCAAUUUGAAAUUACCAAGUUCAUUCUAAGCUCUACACCCACUACGACAGUGUCAAUUUCACAAAAUACAUUCCGGGGUCGUCAAACAGCUUAUUCGGCUACAAUCUCAACUACCAUCUAUGAAGCGAGCCCAUUCAUUCAGACCAAAGGCAACAAUAACCCCAACAGUGCAAUUCUUUCCAAUGCUCCAUUGGCUAACAUUCUCCUGUCUCAGCUACUACUUGGAAACCUUGGUGGUGUCGGAGAACCUAACCUAGCCCCACGUCCAACCGAGUUCAUCCCGGACCCCAACCGAUAUCAGCUCGUCGUCACUACGGCCACUGAAUACAAAACUCAUGUUAAGGAAAUUGUUACCACAGUAACUGCAACGAAGUCCAUCGUUCUUCCUAUUACAUUCCAAGGACGUGAAAUUCUUACAACUGUUUACGACACAGAUGUCACACCUACCGUUUUGACCUCCUUCAUCACAGAGACUCUAACAAUUCCCACCACUUCUACGAUCCGUAUUCAGCCUACAACAGAUGACCUGUCCAACAAACUGAGUCUUCUGCUGCCACUCCUAGAAGAACGCGAACGGCGAAAUCAACUGCUCUCAGCGGCUGCCGAACCUGCUCUACCAAUUAUCUCGACACCACCUCCAACUUCGAUUCUACCAAGCAGCGCGUCCAUAUCAAAGGUUUAUGUCUCCGGACAACAUCCAGGUGAAUUCAGCGUAUCGUUCACAACCAUCCUCAACACGUAAUACAGCGCAGCAACCGGCCUCAAACAGAGCCGGAUCACGUUAGAUCAGGUCUAGCCAGAGUCAAAUUUUAGGAGUUAAUAACAAUUAGAAUAUUAUAAGUUCGCUGAACUGCCAAUUUCAACUUUAGUCAAAACAAAUAGGACGCGUGCUAACCACACACUUAGAUGGAAGUACUGGAGGACGAGAGCAUUUUCGUACAGACGUAUGACAAAAUAUGGAAAUACUCGACAUAUACGAUGGAUGCUUAUGUACAACUACAAUCGUCGUUGCACCAAUGUAGUUUAGAGAUGUUACGUAUUAUUGCCACUAUUUUUGUAGGUCUUUUAUUUUUAUACGAAUAAAACGAAACGAUUUAAUUAUCGGG